Molecule: long non-coding RNA, 763 nt
Filed under: Nicotiana benthamiana
Lineage: Eukaryota; Viridiplantae; Streptophyta; Magnoliopsida; Solanales; Solanaceae
Description: long non-coding RNA (NBEN_LNC023528)
Source: RNAcentral
UUUUGCAUUCUCCUCGUUGGCUAACACCGUAGUAGAGCCAUUGGAGCCUUUAGCCAACUCAAGGUCUUAUUGAAAACAACAGAAGGGGAAGUUUCCUGCAUUUACAUAAUUUGUUCUGUUACUACAUUUAGAAUCGAUAAACUCAUCAAUCACUAAGCAUGUAAGACAAAGAUGAUAUGUUGAUGCUCUCGUCUUAUUGUUGUUGCAAAGAUUUUGUACGCGAUUUAUUCAUGAUUUAUUCUUCAAGCUAUCUGUUCACUUAGAUGCCCGCUAUCAUAAAAUUGUCUUGAAAUGCAGCAAAUGUCAACAAAGGUUAUUUCUUUUCUACUUUGUAGUAUAGUUAGCAAAGAUGAGAAACCUUAGCUCAGUUAAGCAAUUUGAAGACACUAAAAAAUGGAGGAUAACAUGAGAAAAGCAUUUUAAGUUACCCGAUUGCAGGAACUCAACUCUUACAUGAAUCAUUCAGUGAUUUAAGAUGGGAGCAAGGUCUUCCAAGUGAUGUCUCAUCUGAACAAAGUUAAUUCCUUUCUACACCCUCUAUUCAAUGACGUAUGACACAUUUUUUUAAAUACAAGCAAGCUUUUGACAAGUUUAACAAUGGCUGCAAUGUUGUAAGUAUACUAGUCACAAGACUCAAAACUGUCAAGAUUCAAUUCCACUAAGACUUUCAACAUUAUAUUACACCAAUGAGUAUACGUGACUCACAAAGUUCAGCCAGAAUAUAAUGAGUUCUUACUUCAAGACAUCCAAUUUUCACUCUUCA